AUCACUUCUUGACCUUUUGGCCAAGAUCAAGUGUAGUAUCUGUUCUUAUCAGUUUAAUACCUGAUAUGUAUAUCAGGAUACAUGAUAUAUGUAUCAUAUAUCAUGAUAUAUGAUAUAUGAUACCUUCUAUCCAAGAACAAUAUAUUAAAUGGAUUUUUGGAGAAGGGAGAUGGAAUAGCAGCUUGCCCCAUUACUCUUCACAUAAAACAGGUAUUGUGAUAUUUCAGGAACAGUCCACUCCCU
RNAcentral lists this small nuclear RNA (243 nucleotides) under Panthera leo (lion). RNAcentral describes it as "U2 spliceosomal RNA (ENSPLOG00000003297.1)". It matches the Rfam family "U2 spliceosomal RNA". From Rfam's summary of the family: U2 is a small nuclear RNA (snRNA) component of the spliceosome (involved in pre-mRNA splicing). Complementary binding between U2 snRNA (in an area lying towards the 5' end but 3' to hairpin I) and the branchpoint sequence (BPS) of the intron results the bulging out of an unpaired adenosine, on the BPS, which initiates a nucleophilic attack at the intronic 5' splice site, thus starting the first of two transesterification reactions that mediate splicing. Lineage: Eukaryota; Metazoa; Chordata; Mammalia; Carnivora; Felidae. The record is from Rfam by way of RNAcentral.